RNAcentral lists this long non-coding RNA (1718 nucleotides) under Oreochromis niloticus (Nile tilapia). Its description in RNAcentral is "lncRNA (ENSONIG00000023925.2)". The record is from RNAcentral. Lineage: Eukaryota; Metazoa; Chordata; Actinopteri; Cichliformes; Cichlidae.
CUCAAAGUGGUGACUGUAGCCUGGCAGAAUGCCAGCAUUCCUGGCAGUCUUGGACACAUCAUUUGUAUGUGUGUGAGUGUGUGAGUGUCUGUGUUUGCGCGUGUUUGUGUGUACGCUCGCUUAGCCGUGUGUGCGUAGGUGGAAAUGGUAAUAUUUGAUUUCGCACAUUAAUUUGUGUUUGUCACAUAUUAGCAAAACACAUGUUACUCUUACCAAAAUCAUAUGCUCGCACACUUGCAAUUACUCCCACAAACACACACAGGGGUGAGUGCGGCAGGUUCUCUUGCUGUCAGGUCUUGCCCAUUCAUCCACACAACUUCCCUGUGGAAUACCACAUAAUGAGUCCGUGUCAUGUAGGUACACAUAACUUGAAGUAUACAUCUACAUUCAUCACAUGCAUAAUGCAUGUACACAUUAUUAACUUUUAUCAUUAUGCAUAUAUACAUAAUUAUACAAGAGUCUAAUCCUUUACAUGAGUGAUCAGUCAUACAUACAAGGGCUGAGUUCAGAGCCAUUAACACUAAAACAUUUUUUUAAAGGAAAUUGUAUUUGAAAAUGUAUUUUUUGGGUUACUAAAUGUGUGUUUUUUGGGGUUGUUUUUUUUACACAAACAUAGAAUUUAUAUUGGUUCAUAAUGUUUUUUUGUUUUAUUAUUGUAUUAUUAUUAUUAUUAUUAUUAUUAUUUUUGUUAUUAUUAUUAUUGUUAUUAUUAUAUCCACCAUCAUUUCCACCACUUUCUGUCUUUUCCAGCUUUAGAUAAAAUGGAAAUAUAUAUAGCUUUUAUCUUUGGUUUUUAUUCAGGAUAUGAUGCGAUAGCAUUUUGGAAAUUCUUUAAAUGUAAACAGCAAGCAAAGCAAAUAAUAAGUGAUUUCUGAUGAUAUAUUUAGAGGUCUAUUCAUGGCAACUGUUACAUGGCAACAGCACAUUAUAAACACAAUCGUGCAACAUAUUUAAACCGAACAGACGCUGGAUGUUUCUUUGGCCCGUACUUGCGCUGCAGGUGCAGGUGGCACUCCUCAGGCAGUCAGAUGAGGCCAGACAAGAGUCUGCAAGAAAGAGCCGAGAGGUGGAUGUGGAGAGAAGAAAGGCCCAGAUGCUUCAGGAGGCGUUACACAAGGAGCAGGAGAAGCUGCAGAGUGCUAUCAGAGAGAAUGAGACCCUGAGCACUGUCAUCGGAAAGCUGAGGAAAGAGCUGGAGGAGCUGCGCAGCAGUCACCGAGUGACAGUGGAGGAGUUGGCAGCCCGUGCAGAGGAGGUGAGGCGGAUGGAGGGGUGUCUGAAUGAAGGCAAGCUAGCAGAGGAGAAAAUAAGGUCAAUGGCUGCGGGGCUGAAGAAGGAGCUGACAGAGGCUGUCCAUCAGAAACUCACAGCAGAGAGAGAGAAACAGGAUGCACUGGACCAGAUGUCUUCAGGAGGCUAAUGACACACUGAAGGCGGAGGUAAAGAGACUGAAAGAAGCGGUGGAUGAGAAGGAGAAAGACAUGGAACUCUUCAAGGUGAACAGGGGCAGAGUGGAAAAGCAAUGAACUACAAAUAAGGAGAUACAAGAGAGAGUCAAUCAUAAACAGGUUUGUUUUUUAUAAUUGUUUGCAGGCCCGUCUCCGGGACUGGGGAGUACAGCAAGAAAGGAAAACGUGAGUCAUCUACAUAUAUGUGGGCACGUGUAUGUGUGUGUGUGUGACCACACAUUUAAAGGCAUACGUUUGUUUGCAUUCAGC